GUUAUUCACUUCUCUCCUCUAAUUUCCCCUCUUAUCUCCUCCUUAAAUUUCACUCGGUUAUUGAGAGAUGCGAUUCUAGAGAUAAAUAAAGAGAGGAACAGGUGUUGCCCUGUCGUUGCCGGUGGCUUCGGCCGUCUAUGGCGGCGGCGGGCGUACUAUGUGCGACGCCUCUGUUGCUUUUUACCUCUGGCUUUGAUUCUUUUCAUUUGCGUCGAUGUUGGAACGAAGAAUGGAUGUAGUGGACUAUUAGGACCAAAUCUGGAACAACCAGAUACCUAAGUUGAGUUCAUUGAUUUCUUUUCAUUUCUGAAUGAUAUAAGGAUUUCCUGUGCCCGUUGUAACCAUGGCUAUACAACGGAUUCGCAUGGAUAAACGCAGCAACGACUGAGGCGAUUGAAGGUUUUAGUUGUAUAGGGGAUCGUCAAUAGUGAAUGGUUGUUUUGGCUUACUAAAGGCAUCUGAAUUGGGUCAAACAAUAGCAGCAAAUAGGGGUCGUUAUCAUGGGGUAAGCCUACGGUAGCGCGCUGUGAAACAAAAAUGGUUUUUGGGGGGUGGCGAACGACACAACGGUUCCAUUUCCAGUUAUAAUCUUCAUGCUUGCACUAUAACUUGAAUGAUGCUUUCAUGCUCACAGCCACAUUAGUCCAAAAGGGUGUGAAACACCGCCCAACGGGCAUGAGUGGGGCUUGAUGGUCAGCCGUUUAGGGCAGUGGCGAAGCUUGAGAUUUCCGGUCGGGGGUCGCAAACGUAUAUACCAAAAAUUUCUAUAAAACCGAGGGGUCAAAAACGUGUAUACCAAAAAAUUUCUAUACGAAAAUUACAUACUCUCCACUAACGAGCGAAAAGUUCGGGGGGUCGACCGCCCCCUCCCGCCACCACAAAGCUCCGCACUUGGUUUAGGGCGGGUCACAAGCAUAGGAAUGGAGUAGUUAAAAGUGUCAUUUGGUAUUGCAACUGUUCAGUUAUCAUUUGCUGAAUUUUUGUAGAUAACUUGAAUGAAUGUUUUUAACUGUACCAUAUGUUUUGUAAUAUGAGGAUUAUGCAAAGAUGCUGAAUGGUUGCCCCAGUGGAAAAUUCCCAGGCUUUCUUUUUGGGGGAUAUGUUUAUUACUUUUGUGGUUCUGAUGCACCUAAAUUCGAAAACUCUUGCAUAAGAGGUUAGU
This 1162-nucleotide long non-coding RNA is filed under the name Helianthus annuus (common sunflower). RNAcentral describes it as "hypothetical non coding rna". The record is from RNAcentral. Lineage: Eukaryota; Viridiplantae; Streptophyta; Magnoliopsida; Asterales; Asteraceae.